AGUUCAUGGCCAAGUACUGUAUAUAGAUGCAUGCCCUAUUCCUCCUGCAGGCUUAGUUCCAGCAAUGUAUAAUCUCGUGUACGAGAAAGAUGACUUUAGUUCCCUCAAACGGUGGCUAAAUAAAUGGAUCCUGAUGAAUUAUUCGCACCUUGACUGCUUGAGGUGGUGUUGUGUGAAAACUAAUACCAGAGAAAGACUGCCUUUUUCUUUUUCUCCCAAAACACGCAUAUUUAUUGAACAUCUUCAUGGCCAGAUUGUAUUAACAAACGAAGCCAGUUUUGCCACCACCUUGAUCUCUGCACUGCUAAAUACAAUUGCGUGUUGCUUAAAUUUUUUUGAUUUUGAAUUACUCGCACCUUGACUGCUUGAGGUGAUGUUGUGUGAAAACUAAUACGAGAGAAAGACUGCCUUUUUCUUUUUCUCCUUAAACACGCAUAUUUA
This 441-nucleotide long non-coding RNA is filed under the name Populus trichocarpa (black cottonwood). RNAcentral describes it as "long non-coding RNA (PTRI_LNC002511)". The record is from RNAcentral. Lineage: Eukaryota; Viridiplantae; Streptophyta; Magnoliopsida; Malpighiales; Salicaceae.